CUUGGUCAUUUAGAGGAAGUAAAAGUCGUAACAAGGUCUCCGUUGGUGAACCAGCGGAGGGAUCAUUACCGAGUUUACAACUCCCAAACCCAUGUGAACAUACCUAUCGUUGCUUCGGCGGAUCGCCCCGGGCGCCUUGCGUGCCCCGGAUCCAGGCGGCCGCCGGGGGACCUUAACUCUUGUUUCUACUGAGAAUCUUCUGAGUCGUUUUUACAAAUAAAUAAAAACUUUCAACAACGGAUCUCUUGGUUCUGGCAUCGAUGAAGAACGCAGCGAAAUGCGAAAAGUAAUGUGAAUUGCAGAAUUCAGUGAAUCAUCGAAUCUUUGAACGCACAUUGCGCCCGCCAGUAUUCUGGCGGGCAUGCCUGUCUGAGCGUCAUUUCAACCCUCACGCCCCUAGGGCGUGGUGUUGGGGAUCGGCCAGCGCCCUCGCGGGCGAGGCCGUCCCCUAAAUCUAGUGGCGGACCCGUCGUGGCCUCCCCUGCGAAGUAGUGAUAUUCCGCAUAGGAGAGCGACGAGCCCCUGCCGUUAAACCCCCAACUUUCUCAGGUUGACCUCAGAUCAGGUAGGAAUACCCGCUGAACUUAAGCAUAUCAAUAAGCGGAGGAAAAGAAACCAACAGGGAUUGCCCCAGUAACGGCGAAUCCCGCGGCC
This 654-nucleotide ribosomal RNA is filed under the name uncultured fungus. RNAcentral's name for it is "eukaryotic LSU rRNA". The stretch from base 226 to 379 matches the Rfam family "5.8S ribosomal RNA". Lineage: Eukaryota; Fungi. The record is from RNAcentral.